CCUACGGGCGUCAGCAGUGGGGAAUAUUGGGCAAUGGGCGAAAGCCUGACCCAGCAACGCCGCGUGAGGGAAGAAGGCCUUCGGGUUGUAAACCUCUGUCUUUGGUGACGAAACAAAUGACGGUAGCCAAAGAGGAAGCCCCGGCUAACUACGUGCCAGCAGCCGCGGUAAUACGUAGGGGGCGAGCGUUGUCCGGAAUUACUGGGCGUAAAGGGUGCGUAGGUGGCCUUUUAAGUUGGAUGUGAAAGCCCCGGGCUUAACUUGGGUGGUGCAUCUAAUACUGGAGGGCUAGAGUGCAGGAGAGGGAAGCGGAAUUCCUAGUGUAGCGGUGAAAUGCGUAGAUAUUAGGAGGAACACCAGUGGCGAAGGCGGCUUUCUGGACUGUAACUGACACUGAGGCACGAAAGCGUGGGGAGCAAACA
RNAcentral lists this ribosomal RNA (422 nucleotides) under uncultured prokaryote. Its description in RNAcentral is "bacterial SSU rRNA". It matches the Rfam family "Bacterial small subunit ribosomal RNA", at positions 338 to 774 of the family's 1533-position model. The record is from RNAcentral.